CAGCAGGUUACCACAGUGUGAACCCUCCACCCCAGCCCAGCUCAUUCUGAGAGGGUGGAGUGGGCGGAAAUCCGUGCCUGGCAGGCCACAAAGCCACAUAACUGACUUUGGGGGCCCUGCCCUAAGAGGGAGGUGUGUGAUGACAGCCACUGGCCCUUUCUUGGGUGGUUUGCUGCUAGAAGAUGCUAUGUGGAAUCGAGGAGCUCUGUGCUGUGGACUUUCUUGGGCUCAUUUCUGGGCUUAGGAUUUUGGAGGUACAGCCUGGUCCCCAUCCUGCUCAAUCUCAUUAGCCAGGGGGGCCCAGCAUGGAUCAGUGGCUGCCUACCCUGGUGGCACAGCAGAACUCUCCAGGGGAAAAAGUUAAAAUGCAGCUUCUGCGGGCCCCACCUAGGACAUUCUUUUUCAUUAGGCCUGGGUGGGGUCCAGGAAACCUGAGUUGUCAGGGCCAGAGGUGGAGCUGACGUUGCAGUCUGGUUGCAGCUUUGUGGGGAAAACCAUCCAUUUAAAGCACUCUUCCCCACCAUGCAGAUUCAGCAGUUAGGCUCCUGGCCCCUGGGUGACCUUCUGCAAGCCUAUUUUCGUGCCUAUUUUCUUUACCUAGGGAUAAUCUUAGUGCCUGUAUAUGGACACUGUUGCUGUGGAACAUGGAGCACAGGGCUUACUUAGUACAUGCUUGACAAAUGCUCUUUGCCUUAAUAGUUCUGAUAUUAUUAAUAAUGGAUUUGGGCUGUGCGAUCACCGAACACACAUAACCAUGUGAUGUGCCCACAUGCCUGCAGGCGCACCCACCUAUACCCACAUGGGUAAACUGAACCGAUGUGCACCUAGAUCUGAACCUACCUGCUGAGGAUGGAGGCGUGCAUAGGGGACAUACAUAGUCACUGGAUAGAUGGGGUCACGGGGGCAGACCUGUGUGUACGCCGGGCCCGUACCAAUGGGACUUUUCUUUUAUUCACGUGCUGAUAUUAUUCUG
This 973-nucleotide long non-coding RNA is filed under the name Marmota monax (woodchuck). The record is from RNAcentral. Lineage: Eukaryota; Metazoa; Chordata; Mammalia; Rodentia; Sciuridae.